This 254-nucleotide ribosomal RNA is filed under the name uncultured bacterium. RNAcentral describes it as "partial 16S ribosomal RNA". It matches the Rfam family "Bacterial small subunit ribosomal RNA", at positions 524 to 776 of the family's 1533-position model. The record is from RNAcentral.
UACGGGGGGAGCAAGCGUUGUUCGGAUUUACUGGGCGUAAAGGGCGCGUAGGCGGUCGUGACAAGUCACUUGUGAAAUCUCCGGGCUUAACUCGGAACGGUCAAGUGAUACUGUCGGACUAGAGUACAGAAGGGGCAACUGGAAUUCUCGGUGUAGCGGUGAAAUGCGUAGAUAUCGAGAGGAACACCAGCGGCGAAGGCGGCACUCUGGGCUGGUACUGACGCUGAGGAGCGAAAGCGUGGGUAGCGAACAGG